GUUUUUUUUUGUUCUUCUUGUCUGCUGGUGGAAUGUGUACUACCAGAUGGUCCUGCAGCAGUGGAAGGCAGAGAACAGGUUGCAGCUGAAGAACUGCUGAGCCUGUGAAAGCUGGCCAGCCCGUUCAUCAUGUGGAAAGACUGCACACGGGGCUGCCCAGAAAUGGAUUGCGACAAAGCAAACCUGCUUUCUAUCUGCGUAUGGGGACCAGAAAUGUAGCCACAAAAUGGUCAUGUGGAAGAAAGGUCCCAAUGUGUUCAAUUUUCAGGUUUGGGGCUGGCCUGGAGAGAUCACAGAUAUGCUUUCCAUAGACUCUCCAAAGGACCUAAGCACAUGAAAAUGUCUUCAGACCUUGCCACUGCACACAGCUCUUCCAUGACUCAGUUUCCCAAGAGUGAAAUGAAGAUAAUGACAUCACUGCCUCAGCUGAGGGCUACAAGGCUCUGAUAUUUGUUAUACAGAAGAUGGAAACUGCAAACACAGAUCGCAGAGCCUGCAGGAGAAAGGAAUGAAUCUGUCCCACAGCAUUUUCUCAGAAGCCCAGCUCAUUCCUGCCUGCAGUGCCAGUGACCGUUUCAAUUGAAAGUCAGACAGACUGGAUGGCAUGUAUCCUUACAAUAUCACUAACAGUAAUUUUGCCUUCUGCAGCUCACAAAUGGGGAAUCCAGUCACAAAAAUGCUGUGCGCCAUUCCCAAGGUCACAAAAGCAGUGCAUGGCACUGCAGAGAUCAGGAUCCAGGCCUCCUGCAUUAAAUGCACAGCUGCCUCUCUCCACUUUCUUGCAACUGAAAUCUAGUAUUAGUUCCUGGAAUCACCCAUCCAGUACCUUGAAAAAAUAUGAUGUGCUCCAAAGCUGUUACAAAGCAAGACGGCACGAAUAAAGCAAUUCCCAAUAAAAAGGACAGUUCAAAUUUCUUCAUCUUUGACUUGUGCAAAAGACAAGAAAUACUUAAUUUUUCCUGCCCAAACACUACGUGAAAACCUGCUGAAAUACAUUUUCAGACCAGAAUAUGUUGGUUAGCAUAAAAGAAUUGCUUCCCUGCCCCUCCAUUUUACAGCAAACUUCUGUGUUUAAUGCCAAAACACCUAGUUUGCUAAAGGUCACAGAGAAGUGACAAGAAAAGCAAGAAAAUAAAUACUCAAAGCAAGAGGAUGAACAUUUGGACAUACAUUCAUUCUGAAUGUUCUUUUCAUUGUUUGGACAUUAUUUUACACCUGAGUCAUCCUAGAUCUUUCAAAAACAAGGACAGAAAAGGGAGAAGAAAAAUAAGCCAGUAAGAAGGAUUUUUUUUUUUUUUUUUCAAAUCUCCUUGUCAUUUUGCAUCAAAACAAUUCAGGAAUUACAGAAUGCUCCUGGCCCAAGAGAUGUGAUCUUGCUAAUGCACUUCAGGUGCUCUUUAUCAUCUCAGGGGAUGCACUUCUAGGGGAAUGACAACUCAGAAAAGACCAGCAGGAGGUGACUGGUCAACUGGAUCUUGAUUUGACUUAUGUCGCAAUCCUCUGGUUCUCAACUCCUUCCUUUUUCUUCCCAGCUUUCCAAGGAGAUGUAGGGGCACUUCUCUGUAGAGCUGAAACAUGAAUGUCCCCAAAGAUUUUCCCCUUGUUUCCUUCAGGGAAAGAAGGAGAUUAUCAAGGUACCUGCAGAAUUUCACAUAUUAGAUAAACUUCCUCAUGCUUUCUUGAACUCCACUCCAUCUGCCUAGUCCCACUCAACCUGCAGGCAAGGCGACCUAAAAAAGAUUUAUUCUACACAUCCUAACGGCAAAGGCAAAGUAUGGGUUGACAUAUCUGCCUCUAAACUUGACACGCAUUUCUUUACACGUGAGUGCUGCCAACUUGCACACGUUGAUGCAACUGGAGAAUUGCUUCAGGGACAGCAACUGUACAGGUGUCUAAGCUACAUCUUUGAAUGUGAUAUGAGAAGCACAGGCCAAAGAUUUUAGGAUUAUUUUAUGAUUCUCUGAAGAGAAUCAUCGUAAGAUUCAGAGAACUGUAAGAACUUUUGGUUCCUUAUCUGAACUUCAAAAUCUUUUGAGGUUUCUCUCAGGCUGGCAAUAACAGUCCUAACUACACUGACAAACAGCAACAGCCUCCUCAGCCCUUCCAUUUUUGCAAUAAAAUAGAAUGCUUUUCUCUUCGUUCUUUCUUUUUAAUUAAAAUUUUCUCUUCUCUUAUUACCUUGGGCUGUUGCUUUGUGUCUAGAGUGGUUCUGUUCCUGACCACCGAAACAAUAAAAAAGUUCUCGGUGCCCAUGAAAGGACUCUGAACUAUCUGAUCUGUUCAAAUGUAAGGUAAAGAUAAAAACUCAGACAAGAUCAACCUGCUUCUUCUUCAGACUUCAAGAGACAGUCCAGAUAAUUGUAAAUGGUGAGGAAUAAAACAGCUCAGAGGAUUGGAGUGACUUAACUGUUCCCAAAAUUUUUGAUCAUACUAAAAAAUUAGCCUUUCUAGCUUCUCCUGAUGUAUGGAAAAGUGAUGUUCCUGUGCAGUGCUGGCCAUGGCACAGUGCAGGACAAGAGUGUGGUUCAAGCCACAGGUUCUUCAAACGAAAUUUCCCUAUAGGGCUACUAUGAAACAUGAAGAGUUGCUACCAACUAAAACAGGCUGGUACAACACGGACUGUGAAGCAAUACGUUCAGCCAAUUCACUACAGAGCAUGAUCAGAGCCUCCAGAAAACAGGUACAUCGAGAAGAAGCUGAAGGAAGGAAAUCUGAGAACCAGUGAAGAAGUCUUCAGAGACGCAGCUUGUCUGUGAGUGCCUCACUAACUUAAAAGGUCUUUGUUAUCCAAAAUAAAUGUGUGCUGGGUGUCAGACCAUUUCUCAAUGUGUCGGAACAACAUACUCUCCUUUCCACUCCACCUCUGGCAUCAGCGAUAGUUUCAGACAGCAAAAACUACUAGGGCCAAAGGAAAGCGAGGGAUCUUUCCAGAACAAGUGUUAGUGAGAAGGGGCCAAAAAUUGGUCUUACAACUCUUAGAGUGCAAUUUGAUCUACGAAUAAUAAAUUACCCUUCCAAAUGGCUGAUUUGACCCUUUUCAGUAGCAUGACUGUAAAAAAGAAAGAAACGUAAAAGAAUAUAUGCAUAAAAUGCUGUAGAGCAGCGGUCAUGGCUCCAGCACAUAAAACAUUUGCUCUGUCAGUGGACAAAGUGUAAAUCCUAUUUUUCUUUCCUUUUUUUUAAAAAAAUAAAUAAAUAAAGCAAAGAUGAAAA
Long non-coding RNA from Centrocercus urophasianus (Greater sage-grouse), 3213 nucleotides. RefSeq lists it as uncharacterized. The record is from RefSeq and is a predicted model, not a curated record. NCBI's taxonomy places the organism in Eukaryota, Metazoa, Chordata, Aves, Galliformes, Phasianidae. The transcript is spliced from 4 exons.